AAAUUGAAGAGUUUGAUCAUGGCUCAGAUUGAACGCUGGCGGCAGGCCUAACACAUGCAAGUCGAACGGUAACAGGAAGCAGCUUGCUGCUUCGCUGACGAGUGGCGGACGGGUGAGUAAUGUCUGGGAAACUGCCUGAUGGAGGGGGAUAACUACUGGAAACGGUAGCUAAUACCGCAUAAUGUCGCAAGACCAAAGAGGGGGACCUUCGGGCCUCUUGCCAUCGGAUGUGCCCAGAUGGGAUUAGCUUGUUGGUGGGGUAACGGCUCACCAAGGCGACGAUCCCUAGCUGGUCUGAGAGGAUGACCAGCCACACUGGAACUGAGACACGGUCCAGACUCCUACGGGA
Molecule: ribosomal RNA, 349 nt
Filed under: Shigella sonnei
Lineage: Bacteria; Pseudomonadati; Pseudomonadota; Gammaproteobacteria; Enterobacterales; Enterobacteriaceae
Description: bacterial SSU rRNA
Rfam family: Bacterial small subunit ribosomal RNA
Source: RNAcentral